Molecule: ribosomal RNA, 500 nt
Filed under: uncultured bacterium
Lineage: Bacteria
Description: partial 16S ribosomal RNA
Rfam family: Bacterial small subunit ribosomal RNA
Source: RNAcentral
AUUGAACGCUGGCGGAAUGCUUUACACAUGCAAGUCGAACGGCAGCACGGACUUCGGUCUGGUGGCGAGUGGCGAACGGGUGAGUAAUGUAUCGGAGCGUGCCCAGUCGUGGGGGAUAACGUAGUGAAAAUUACGCUAAUACCGCAUACGAUCUAUGGAUGAAAGCGGGGGAUCGCAAGACCUCGCGCGAUUGGAGCGGCCGAUAUCAGAUUAGGUAGUUGGUGGGGUAAAGGCCCACCAAGCCAACGAUCUGUAGCUGGUCUGAGAGGACGACCAGCGACCAUGGAACUGAGCCACGGUCCAGACUACUACGGGAGGCAGCAGUGGGGAAUUUUGGACAAUGGGCGAAAGCCUGAUCCAGCCAUUCCGCGUGCAGGAUGAAGGCCCUCGGGUUGUAAACUGCUUUUGUACAGAACGAAAAGGUUUCUACUAAUACUAGGAGCUCAUGACGGUACUGUAAGAAUAAGCACCGGCUAACUACGUGCCAGCCGCCGCAGUAA